This 1346-nucleotide ribosomal RNA is filed under the name uncultured bacterium. RNAcentral describes it as "partial 16S ribosomal RNA". It matches the Rfam family "Bacterial small subunit ribosomal RNA", at positions 28 to 1381 of the family's 1533-position model. The record is from RNAcentral.
GACGAACGCUGGCGGCGUGCUUAACACAUGCAAGUCGAACGGAAAGGCCCUGCUUUUGUGGGGUGCUCGAGUGGCGAACGGGUGAGUAACACGUGAGUAACCUGCCCUUGACUUUGGGAUAACUUCAGGAAACUGGGGCUAAUACCGGAUAGGAGCUCCUGCUGCAUGGUGGGGGUUGGAAAGUUUCGGCGGUUGGGGAUGGACUCGCGGCUUAUCAGCUUGUUGGUGGGGUAGUGGCUUACCAAGGCUUUGACGGGUAGCCGGCCUGAGAGGGUGACCGGCCACAUUGGGACUGAGAUACGGCCCAGACUCCUACGGGAGGCAGCAGUGGGGAAUAUUGCACAAUGGGCGGAAGCCUGAUGCAGCAACGCCGCGUGCGGGAUGACGGCCUUCGGGUUGUAAACCGCUUUCGCCUGUGACGAAGCGUGAGUGACGGUAAUGGGUAAAGAAGCACCGGCUAACUACGUGCCAGCAGCCGCGGUGAUACGUAGGGUGCGAGCGUUGUCCGGAUUUAUUGGGCGUAAAGGGCUCGUAGGUGGUUGAUCGCGUCGGAAGUGUAAUCUUGGGGCUUAACCCUGAGCGUGCUUUCGAUACGGGUUGACUUGAGGAAGGUAGGGGAGAAUGGAAUUCCUGGUGGAGCGGUGGAAUGCGCAGAUAUCAGGAGGAACACCAGUGGCGAAGGCGGUUCUCUGGGCCUUUCCUGACGCUGAGGAGCGAAAGCGUGGGGAGCGAACAGGCUUAGAUACCCUGGUAGUCCACGCUGUAAACGGUGGGUACUAGGUGUGGGGUCCAUUCCACGGGUUCCGUGCCGUAGCUAACGCUUUAAGUACCCCGCCUGGGGAGUACGGCCGCAAGGCUAAAACUCAAAGGAAUUGACGGGGCCCCACACAAGCGGCGGAGCAUGCGGAUUAAUUCGAUGCAACGCGUAGAACCUUACCUGGGUUUGACAUGGAUCGGGAGUGCUCAGAGAUGGGUGUGCCUCUUUUGGGGUCGGUUCACAGGUGGUGCAUGGCUGUCGUCAGCUCGUGUCGUGAGAUGUUGGGUUAAGUCCCGCAACGAGCGCAACCCUUGUUCACUGUUGCCAGCACGUUAUGGUGGGGACUCAGUGGAGACCGCCGGGGUCAACUCGGAGGAAGGUGGGGAUGACGUCAAGUCAUCAUGCCCCUUAUGUCCAGGGCUUCACGCAUGCUACAAUGGCUGGUACAGAGAGUGGCGAGCCUGUGAGGGUGAGCGAAUCUCGGAAAGCCGGUCUCGGUUCGGAUUGGGGUCUGCAACUCGACCUCAUGAAGUCGGAGUCGCUAGUAAUCGCAGAUCAGCAACGCUGCGGUGAAUACGUUCCCGGGGCU